GAUGAGAAGUACAUUCCACCUGCCUUCAAAGAGUUUGAAGUCCAGUGAAAGACACAGACAGAUUGUGUAAUAAAGAAGCUGGCUGGCUUUUCCUGGAGUUUCCAGAAAGCAUCGGAAGUGUCUCAUCUCCCUUUACUCCCCUCCACUUCCAACCCACACUCAGGCAGAGGUGGAUGUAAACAGCAAAAUAAUCAAAUGCUUGCUGGUGGAAGGAUGAGAGACAAACCGCAGGGGAGCCUGAGGUCCUCCAGAGGGAUAUUAGUGAGCGGCUUGCCUGAGCAAAAGCCAUUUGUACUCACCCCACAAUCGUUAGCUCCAUCUCCACACAUGCCCACAUAGUAACUGCAGGAGACAGGAGAAGAAGGAUUAGUAGUUUGGUGUGCAAGCAUAAUACAAAUAGAAGAAUGAAAAUUAAUAUGGCUGCCAAAGAAAAGGAGUUUCUGAUGGAAGACACUGCCUGCCUUCUAUUAUAAGUAAUACAUUGUCCAGUCUCUUGGUUCUCCACCAGCUGCCAGGUCACAGAGGCAGGAACAAAUUCUUCUGGUUCAUUGGCUUCAACAAUGAUCACUUGGCUGCCUGGAGGGAUCAUUUCCGAAUUCUUUGCAACAGUAACGGCUGUUUGAAGGUUGUCACCUAGAAGACAAAGAAACUUUGCUUUCUGUGUGUACAAACCUCUCUUCAGCAACAAGAACUGAGGUCGCCCUUUUUCACUCUGCUUAGUGUUCUGUGGGGGCAUUUACUGCUUUCUGCCUUAUUUUAUCUUCCUCUCUGCUGUAGACUGCCCCUCAUGGGCAAACACUAUAUUCCCAUCUCCCUCUCACAAUAUUCAGCAUCAUAUCCUGUCCAUGUGUAUUUCAAAACCUGUGUGAAUUCAUAAAGAAAUACUUCAGCAUUUAUGACGAAUCCUCAGAAGUCAGACUACUGUAAGUGGUGAAUAUAGCAUGAUCUCAGCCUGAUAGCAUAAAACCAUCCACGGGGUCUGGAAACCAACUAAGCAAAGAACACACAGGGUCAGGCUGUGCUUGGGUUUGAUGAUUAUACACCAUGCCUGGCCCUACUGCCCUAGAGGACCAUCAACCAGAGGCUCAAUCCUCUGUGCAGAGGGAUCAUUGGGUUUCUUGGUGAGAACACGCCCAUUGUUGCUCAUUUACUGUGAGCCUAGAGGCACUGCACAGAUCCUGGCUAGGAGGGGUAGUCAUUAGACAAAAGAGAAUGAGAUACAGUCCCUACCUCCAAAGCUUCUGGUCCUGUCGGGGCAGCUGUACAUGUUUUCAGGUAAGGGACUACAGGGUAACAAAUUCAACAACAAAACAUUUUUCUCUGUCUCUGACACAUGAACUCAGCUCACACAUCUUGUUCUUAUGCCUGGGAUACAAUCAACUUGCCAGGCACCUAGAAACAAAUAGAUACCUGUAAUCAUCACAGUCCUGAUAUGGGCCUCGCUCAGUUCCUUCAAGACCGGUUUGGUUUCUUUUUUCAAACGAUUCUCCAUGAUGAGAAGUCCCAGAAAUGUUAACUCUGACUCCACUUUUUCUCUUUGUAUUCAGGAGAAAAUCAAUAUUAAAGUAUAUCUAUGUCGGCUCAAUAGUUCAAUUUAUUUCUUCUUUUAAAAAUUUCGUUGUAAGUCUUAUUAAUGUAAUACAGGCACAUUUUAAAAAUCAAAACAAACUUAAAAGCUUAUAAUGAAAACCAACAGUCUGUGUCUCCACACCAUCUCCCCCCUCUCCUAGAGGUGUUCUAAAUCUGUUUUUUCCAGUUUCCAAUUUAUUUUUAAAAGCAAUUGUGCUUAUCUUCCAACUCUUCUGUUGGUUUUUAAAUAUGUUAAUCCAAUACUUUAUUUUUUAAUUUAUCAUAGCUUUCUCUUUUUUGAGUUUGCAACCGUUUCAGUUUAUUUGGCAUUUGUUAAGUGCAUUCUGCAUACAUACAAGACACGAUAGUAGUAGUUGAAUACGGUGUCAUUCAUCUUAGUCUCCAUCUGUCACCUUGAAUAAUAUUUACUGGCAUCACACAGGGCUCUGAACAGUUUUCAGAAUUUGAAGGUGGCUUAUAGUCCAACUGGGUUGCAUUAGUUAUAUAGGAACUUUCCUCUGAAAUGGAAUGAUUCUAGGGUGGCUUUUUAAAAAGUAAAUCUGGGGGCCAAGAACUCUUUUUUGUUCUUUGUUCAUUUUUCUGUGCACCAUGGUGUUAAGAUUACAGGGAGAUAGAUUUAAACAAUAUGCAUAUAGCUAUGAAGCCAUUACUAUAAUCAAGGUAAUAAACAGAUCCAUCACCUCAAAAAGUUUCCUUCUGCCCUGUUUUAUAUGUAUGUGUGCAUGUGUGUCAAAAUCACUUCUCUAGAAGGUAUUCAUCUUGCAUAACUGAAACUUUAUACCCAUUAAUGACAACUUCCUAUUUCCCUCUCCCGCUAGCCCUUGGUAAUCACCAUUCUACUCUCUGCUGUCUACUUCUAUGAAUAUGUCUAUUUCAGAUGCUUCAGAUACGUAGGAUCACACAGUAUUAGGCCUUCUGUGACUGGUUUAUUUCACUUAGUGUGAUGUCUUUCAGUUUCACUCAUGUUGUCUCAUAUGGCAAGAUUUUCUCCUUUUCUAAGGCUUAAUAAUAUUCCA
Molecule: long non-coding RNA, 2606 nt
Organism: Piliocolobus tephrosceles (Ugandan red Colobus)
Lineage: Eukaryota; Metazoa; Chordata; Mammalia; Primates; Cercopithecidae
Exons: 4
Source: RefSeq, a predicted model, not a curated record